UAUGGUCACAAAUUCAUCUUCCCAAGCUCUUUGCUAGGAUUGGUGCAGUCGAUGCGAGCACUAUCAAGCAUUUAGCAAACCGCUUCAUCUCUAAUCAGAUAUACUAAUUUGGUGAACUCCACUAUUUCUGCUUUGCAUCCGCUUCAAUGCAACAAGGAAAGGAAAGUUGAUGUACAAUUUGAUUUAACGAUGAUCCUUGCAUUCUUGGUUGUCUUUGCCAUUCUUUGGUUUGUGUUGAGACCCAGACGGUCCAAACCGAAGAUAAAUUGAGGCUCCAAGGAGCAAUACAGACGUGUAUUAAUACAAAUUGGAAUACCAAAUCAGUUGAUUUACAGACCUAAUAUUGGGGAUAUUGUCAGAGUUCAUAUAUUGGAAUUACAUGCUGCAGACCUCGUUCAUGAGUAGGGUGUAAAUGAGCCAAGCUGAGCCGAGUAUCACCAAGCUCAAGCUCGGCUUGAGUAUAUUAUUUGAAGGCUCGAGCUCGUUUGAGCCAUGUUUUCUGUGCUCGAG
Molecule: long non-coding RNA, 510 nt
Organism: Dioscorea cayenensis subsp. rotundata (Guinea yam)
Lineage: Eukaryota; Viridiplantae; Streptophyta; Magnoliopsida; Dioscoreales; Dioscoreaceae
Exons: 3
Source: RefSeq, a predicted model, not a curated record